GGUUGGGGAGGGUGACAGCCAUGGAAUCUGAAGGACUGGGGAAGACAGAGGGGAGCAGCCCAGUCUGGAAUGGGCUGAAAGAGAAGUUGUGUCCCUGUGGCAGCAAUUCUCCUCUUUGCCUUCAAGAGAAGGAAGGAGCCAGCAUCUUCUCACCUUGAUAACUUUUUGCUCCACUUACUCAAGACUACACUUAGCAUUUCUACAGAGCUUUUCAGACACUAAGUCCUACAUCACCUUCGAGAGCCACAGAAACCCCUGAGUGAUGCAUUACACUAUCAUCUGUUUAAAAUGCUCUUCUCUCGACAUCACUGAGAUGCACAGCGCUGUACACCUGCCUACUUCUGAUGACCAAUGACAUAAACAAGGAAGAAAAAAGGAGCAUUAUAUCAGUAAUCACUGGAUCUGAAGGGAAAAAAAAAAAAAAAAAACAAACAAGAACAAACCACUAAACAACAAAAUCCGCCAUUAAAAGAAUUGCUGGUAUUACUAUAUGAA
Hirundo rustica (Barn swallow) is the source of this 495-nucleotide long non-coding RNA. RefSeq lists it as uncharacterized. The record is from RefSeq and is a predicted model, not a curated record. The transcript is spliced from 3 exons. Lineage: Eukaryota; Metazoa; Chordata; Aves; Passeriformes; Hirundinidae.